RNAcentral lists this ribosomal RNA (470 nucleotides) under Papiliotrema terrestris. Its description in RNAcentral is "eukaryotic LSU rRNA". It matches the Rfam family "Eukaryotic large subunit ribosomal RNA", at positions 121 to 597 of the family's 3401-position model. Lineage: Eukaryota; Fungi; Basidiomycota; Tremellomycetes; Tremellales; Rhynchogastremaceae. The record is from RNAcentral.
UCUGGCGUGCUCAGUGCGUCCGAGUUGUAAUCUAUAGAGGCGUUUUCCGUGCCGGACUGUGUCUAAGUCCCUUGGAACAGGGUAUCAAAGAGGGUGAUAAUCCCGUACUUGACACAAUGACCGGUGCUCUGUGAUACGUCUUCUACGAGUCGAGUUGUUUGGGAAUGCAGCUCAAAAUGGGUGGUGAGUUCCAUCUAAAGCUAAAUAUUGGCGAGAGACCGAUAGCGAACAAGUACCGUGAGGGAAAGAUGAAAAGCACUUUGGAAAGAGAGUUAAACAGUACGUGAAAUUGUUGAAAGGGAAACGAUUGAAGUCAGUCGUGACUGAGAGGCUCAGCCGGUUCUGCCGGUGUAUUCCCCUCAGUCGGGUCAACAUCAGUUUUGUUCGGUGGAUAAGGGCAGCUGGAAGGUGGCACCUCCGGGUGUGUUAUAGCCAGCUGUCGCAUACAUCGAAUGAGACUGAGGAAUGCA